Molecule: ribosomal RNA, 253 nt
Filed under: uncultured bacterium
Lineage: Bacteria
Description: partial 16S ribosomal RNA
Rfam family: Bacterial small subunit ribosomal RNA
Source: RNAcentral
UACGUAGGGGGCAAGCGUUGUCCGGAAUCAUUGGGCGUAAAGGGCGCGUAGGUGGUUCUGUAUGUCUACCGUGAAAGCAUACAGCUCAACUGUAUUUUGUCGGUAGAAACUGCAGGACUUGAGGCUGGGAGGGGCUGGUGGAAUUCCCUGUGUAGCGGUGAAAUGCGUAGAGAUGGGGGAGAACACUCGUGGCGAAGGCGGCCAGCUAGACCAGUUCUGACACUGAGGCGCGACAGCGUGGGGAGCAAACAGG